RNAcentral lists this long non-coding RNA (1960 nucleotides) under Prunus persica (peach). RNAcentral's name for it is "long non-coding RNA (PPER_LNC005032)". Lineage: Eukaryota; Viridiplantae; Streptophyta; Magnoliopsida; Rosales; Rosaceae. The record is from RNAcentral.
GCGUGUAUAAUUUUCUGUUCUCCACCCUUCUCUGUCCCGUGGUGCCGUUCACUCUCCUAGUUCUUCUCAUUUUCUAAUUUCAAUUCUGCUUCUUAUAAGCCUCAGAGCUUCACUGAGCCCAGGUAAUCGUCUAAUCUUCUUUUAGUUGCAGAUUUUUUAAAUCAACAUUUUAUUUCUCAGGUUUAAUUUUGGGGUAUAAUUUAAGGUGUUGUUUGAUUAGUAUUGUUAUUAUUAUUUUGUGCAUCAGCUCCUCAAGUUUUUCAUCGCGGUUUAUUGGUUUUGGAAAUGAUUAGAUUUGGUUCCUCUAUUUUCUCAAAUUCACGUCUGAUUUGGCUGUGGAUUAUGAAGGGGUUUGUUGGUUUUCAAUUAAUAUUUUAGCUUAUGGGAUAAUUAGAGCUGCUUUAUCAACAUUUAAAAGGAUAAAAGAAACGAUCGAGAUUCCAUUUCAUUGCCUUUCCUACUCCGAUUCUCAAUCCCUUAAGGCCGGUUGGGUGGGCUGGCUAUGUGUCUGCUGUGAUUUUAGCCAUUGUUGCAAGGUAGCUAGCUUCUUUUUCUCCAUUUCAUGGCUCUUUCCAAGACUAACCAUCAUGUACUUCCAGGCAAUUGGGCCUUCUGGGAGAGUUUGAUUGUAUAGGCUGAGGCUGAGUCUUGUGAAUCAUGAUCACCAUCUUUAAACAUUCAUGCUUCUUUAUUUUUAUUAUUUUUGAAUAAGUUGUGUUCUUUGAUGCAAUACAACAACAUAUGAAUGAAUAAUCUCUGGCCUUUUUUUAAACUUUCAUAUUGGGGUCUGCCAAUAGCUCAAUCAACUCUUAUGCAAACUCCAGAAUGCUAAUAUGAGGAAAUGAAAAUAUGAAGAAAUGAUAUACAAAGGUGCCACAAUCUUUAAAGCUGGAGACUUUGGUGUGUAACAACAAACAAGAACCACAAAGUUGAUCCACUUUUUUCAACCAAAAGUCAUACGUUUGAUCACAGGACAAGAAUAAAGUUUAGUUUAGUUUCUAAAUGAGCUUAUGUUGUCACAGUCGAAUCAGUUAGAUCACUUAGCAAUAUAAGUUAGUAGGUGUCGUAAGUUAGAGAUGUGGCGGGAAGAGUGGAAUGGAUCCUGUAUAAACAAGAGCACCAUUGCAACUCCACAAGAAUAAAAGACAAUGAAAAUACAAUUUCCAGUGCUAAGCACAUAAGCGUUGAAUUAUUCAACGGGCAACUAAACUCUCAAAAACCCAUUUCCAAUAUGUGAUGAAAGUGAUAGAAAUUGAAGCUAAAAUCUCUGCAGCUCUCAGGCUCCCAACUGCUAAAGGUCAACUCCAGGCUGAGCCUCCAUGUUUGUCUCCUCCUUUAUUUCUCUCAUUCUUUACUCUCUUUGCCUAAUUUUUUUACCGGUAAUAAGAGAGGGUUUGGUUUGGUUUAAUGUGAAUCUGUUAUCCGUGGCAAAAAAGUUAUUAUUAUUAUUUUUUAAAUUUAAAAUUUUCCAUAUGCGAAGGGAAGAUUCUGACAUAAUUGAUUGAACAGUUGGUUAUGAAAUAAUUGACUAAUUAAAAUGUUGAUUAUUCUGUCUUGUAUUUGGUUGGUGAAUGUACUCGUCCUCCAAAUUUUAUUUCAAUAUUUGACGUUUACUAUUUUGCCCUCGUGUGAAGAAUCCUAUUUUAGCUUACGGUCAUUUGGACCAAUUCCGGUGUUUAGAUAAAAAAAUAUAUAAAAAUUAAAAAAUUUCGCGUGGGAAAAAAACAUAGAAUUUGGAAAUCAUAAAUCCUAACUUUAAAUUCUAUCUCAAAGUUGCUCCCUAAGCCGCUGCAGCCGCUCCUGCUCCUACUGCAGGUGCAGCAGCCGCCGCACUUGCCGCUCCUGCUCCCGCGGCCGCACUUGCCGCUCCUGCUCCCGCCGCCGCACCUUCGGCUUCUGCAGCCGCGGCAGCCGCUGCAGCCACUCUUGGUCCUGCUCUUGCUCCUGCUCCUGCUCCCGC